GACGAACGCUGGCGGCGUGCCUAACACAUGCAAGUCGAACGGAGAUACGAUUUCGGUUGUAUCUUAGUGGCGAACGGGUGAGUAACGCGUGAACAACCUGACUCUAAGAGGGGGAUAACACUCGGAAACGGGUGCUAAUACCGCAUAAGACCACGACCCGGCAUCGGGAUGAGGUCAAAGGAGCAAUCCGCUGAGAGAGGGGUUCGCGUCCCAUUAGAUAGAUGGCGGGGUAACGGCCCACCAUGUCAACGAUGGGUAGCCGAGCUGAGAGGCUGAUCGGCCACACUGGAACUGAGACACGGUCCAGACUCCUACGGGAGGCAGCAGUAGGGAAUUUUCCACAAUGGGGGCAACCCUGAUGGAGCAACGCCGCGUGCAGGAUGAAGGCCCUCGGGUCGUAAACUGCUUUUCUCUGUGAUGAUUAUGACAGUAGCAGAGGAAUAAGGAUCGGCUAACUCCGUGCCAGCAGCCGCCGUAA
Molecule: ribosomal RNA, 478 nt
Filed under: uncultured bacterium
Lineage: Bacteria
Description: partial 16S ribosomal RNA
Rfam family: Bacterial small subunit ribosomal RNA
Source: RNAcentral